UACGAAGGGUGCGAGCGUUAUUCGGAAUAACUGGGCGUAAAGAGCGUGUCGGCGGUUUCUUAAGUCAUCUGUUAAAGAACUCGGCUCAACCGAGUGUAUGCGGGUGAAACUGGGAAACUAGAGUGCGAGAGAGAAGGGUAGAAUUCUCGGAGUAGCGGUAAAAUGCGUAGAUCUCGAGAGGAAUACCGGUUGCGAAGGCGGCCCUUUGGCUCGUAACUGACGCUUAAGCGCGAAAGCGUGGGGAGCAAACAGG
Molecule: ribosomal RNA, 253 nt
Filed under: uncultured bacterium
Lineage: Bacteria
Description: partial 16S ribosomal RNA
Rfam family: Bacterial small subunit ribosomal RNA
Source: RNAcentral